Haliotis rufescens (red abalone) is the source of this 1451-nucleotide RNA transcript. It is a transcript of the gene named tumor necrosis factor-like, with no coding region annotated. The record is from RefSeq and is a predicted model, not a curated record. The transcript is spliced from 3 exons. NCBI's taxonomy places the organism in Eukaryota, Metazoa, Mollusca, Gastropoda, Lepetellida, Haliotidae.
GCAUGAUUUCUCUUGAUAUAUUAGCAAUCUUUGCUAGCAUAUUUUCUGAACAGCCCAGUUAUCAAGAACGGAAACUGAACAACAUUGCUAUAAUGUAUACAGGUGAUUUUGCAUAAGCGGAAAUAUACUAUUAUUAUCCCUAACUUAAACGGAGUUUAGUAUGGAAUAUAGAAACGGGGUUUCGCCGGUCCGUCCGUCGCCUUUCGUUUCUGGAGAACUCAUAAACUUUCAAUAUGCUUUCCUGUAACGCCUUGCUCGUAAAUGAUAUAUUUUCCUGUUCAGGAACUAAAAAAACAUACAUUUGUUUGCGUUUCCAAUGCAACAAGAUGGACUUCAAAUGGGCUUAAGGGUUUGUUUCCAAAGCAUCAACCAUUUCUUCUUGAAACCUUGUAUACAUAUCAGAAAAGUGACCUGGUGACAUUUACUUUUCAGGAAUUGUUAUAUCUGGUAUACAUGUUUGCAUCACCCAGUUCAAUUUAAGGAUGAGGACAGAAAGCAGGAUGAUCCCCCUGACUUACAGUUUCUCAAUCUGCUGAAACCAGUGGCACACUUCUCUGGACUUGACUUUGACGAAGGCACUCAAGGGGAGAGAGGCAAUCUGAGCGUCACACGAAACUGGGCCAACCCUGAUGGUUCUGACAGAAAGCUCCUGUACAACGGGAUGAGUUACGAGAACGGCUCCAUCACAGUACCGGCAGCAGGAGUGUACUACAUCACAAGUCAUGUCAAGUUCUACGUCGAGGACAACAAGAAGGACGACAAGCCACUCCAAACAUUCCAGCACCAGGUUGUCCGCUAUAGCGCCUCCAGCCAGACACAGCUCGUGUUGUUUGAGAAUGCCGUGACUGAGUGUAAAGAGGGCAUCAAUGACGGAGCUCACCUGGAGUACCCGAGUGAUGCUGGUGGACUGGCUCAGUUAGAUGCUGGAGACCAGGUGAUGGUGAAAUCGUCACAUCUUCAUUUGCUGAGACACGAUCGUGACUGGCACUUUCUUGACGUCUUUGUCAUAUAAAGAUGCAGGAAAUGCUGGCGAAAUUACUUCUUUGCUUUCGUUUUGCACCAUGCUUCGUCUGUUCCAUUAACUAUACAGUUCUUUCCUGGCAUCUAUGCAUCUAACUUUCGGUCAUAUCAGUUUACAUGUCAGUCAGACCUGAUUUAUUACACCAAGAGUGUCCAACAGGAUAUACUCUAAACUUUCAGUACAGCUGUUACCACCCUUUCACGGUGUGCACCAGAUUGAUAACUAUUGCUGAUUUGUAAUCCAUGAUUAUUGAUCUGUUAGCAAACAACAGACGAAGUCCAUACGCCACAUGUGUGCAGUUCAGGGUUACCUAGUGUUAAUCGUUUUGAUUUGACAACCGCGACUCACUACUAACAUCCAGGAUGGAACAUCCAGGCCGACUCUUGUUUGUUGAUUUCUUCUUCGGUACAAUAAACACAAGUAAAGAUUG